GUGAGGAAUAUUGGACAAUGGGCGCAAGCCUGAUCCAGCCAUGCCGCGUGCAGGAAGACGCAUCUAUGGUGUGUAAACUGCUUUUGUACGGGAAGAAACACUCCCUCGUGAGGGAGCUUGACGGUACCGUAAGAAUAAGGAUCGGCUAACUCCGUGCCAGCAGCCGCGGUAAUACGGAGGAUCCAAGCGUUAUCCGGAAUCAUUGGGUUUAAAGGGUCCGUAGGCGGUUUAAUAAGUCAGUGGUGAAAGCCCAUCGCUCAACGAUGGAACGGCCAUUGAUACUGUUAGACUUGAAUUACAAGGAAGUAACUAGAAUAUGUAGUGUAGCGGUGAAAUGCUUAGAUAUUACAUGGCAUACCAAUUGCGAAGGCAGGUUACUACUUGUGGAUUGACGCUGAUGGACGAAAGCGUGGGGAGCGAACAGGAUUAGAAACCCCUGUAGUCC
RNAcentral lists this ribosomal RNA (445 nucleotides) under uncultured bacterium. Its description in RNAcentral is "partial 16S ribosomal RNA". It matches the Rfam family "Bacterial small subunit ribosomal RNA", at positions 354 to 796 of the family's 1533-position model. The record is from RNAcentral.